CUCAGAGACUGCCUAAUGUCAACUGGCCUAGUCAUUUUGUCUACUCUGUUGUUCAGUGCCUCUUCUGUGAUUGAUGCUUUCUAGUGUUCAUGAAUACAAGAGCCAAAAAUCUUCACAUAUUUUGCCCACUCCUAUAGGUUCACACACAUUCCUCUCCACCAAACAUUCUUGUCUGCAAUUUUUCAGUCCUCCUUCCAGGUCCCUGACCAGCUUUUCAGACGAUUCGCUUCCACCCAUGAGUAUAUAUAUGUUCCCAUUCCAAGCCACUGUGUCCUCCACAUGAAAUAGGGAACAGGUGCAUGACUCUGAGCUUUGUCCAUUGAUAUGAUUUUCCUUACCAGUUCCUCAAGUCCCCCCCACAUCCCAAGUGUCAUGAAACCACUGCCCAUUUUUAACUUGCCUCCACACCCUGUGCUGACUGGUACAUUAAACAUGCUCAGGUUUUUUCUCCUCCUUUAGCUGGUCACGUGGGACCCACAUACUGUCUGGGGCAUGAUCUGAAGGAGGGGUGCUGGUGCUGCAGUGGUGGGUGACAUGGGGAUCUGCACCACCUGCUCAUGCAGUUACCUUAGGACUUCUGGUCUUGUUUAGGCUUGACCCCAGAUGCACAAUCUGAUCUCACGAUGGACUUCUGCUGGACAUACCUGACUUGAUGACUCUGUGGGUCUGACGGAACCUGGCUCAUAAUGGACACUUCCAGAUACAUUGUUACUUGAUAUCCUAUAGUCAAGAAUUCUGUCUCUAUGGGGCCCCAGUAACACAUUAGGCACUCUGUUUUAAUAGGUGUAUAAGUCUCUGUUACAGAUGGCAUGAUCUUUCUUCACAACCCCAGACAUUGGUGCUAUGAUGCUCACCCACACACAUACAUACACACACUCUCUCUCUCACAC
This 890-nucleotide long non-coding RNA is filed under the name Homo sapiens (human). RNAcentral's name for it is "HSALNT0139470". The record is from RNAcentral. Lineage: Eukaryota; Metazoa; Chordata; Mammalia; Primates; Hominidae.